RNAcentral lists this ribosomal RNA (304 nucleotides) under uncultured bacterium. Its description in RNAcentral is "partial 16S ribosomal RNA". It matches the Rfam family "Bacterial small subunit ribosomal RNA", at positions 506 to 807 of the family's 1533-position model. The record is from RNAcentral.
CAGCAGUAGCCACGGUAAUACGUAGGUGGCAAGCGUUGUCCGGAAUUAUUGGGCGUAAAGGGCUCGCAGGCGGUUUCUUAAGUCUGAUGUGAAAGCCCCCGGCUCAACCGGGGAGGGUCAUUGGAAACUGGGAAACUUGAGUGCAGAAGAGGAGAGUGGAAUUCCACGUGUAGCGGUGAAAUGCGUAGAGAUGUGGAGGAACACCAGUGGCGAAGGCGACUCUCUGGUCUGUAACUGACGCUGAGGAGCGAAAGCGUGGGGAGCGAACAGGAUUAGAUACCCCCGUAGUCCCUGUCUCUUAUAC